CAGGUGCGGCUGAUUACCUAUUAACCCUCUGCAAUUUGAUUGGCUGUUUGCCAAAGUACUGUUGUCAUGUGUUUUUUAGUUGGCAGAAGUAGCCUAAGUAACUGCGGCCAGGUCACCAUGAACAACACACAUUUAAAAGUCUGCCAUUUGACUUAAAAUUUGAGAGUAGCUACAGAACACCUCGGUGCCCACCAGCCGCGAGAUAUUAUAAACAAAACCUCUGGUAGUGGUUCUCCAGGAAAAAAAUGGCUAACUGCUAGCUUGAAGAAGCUAAUUUUGUUUCCCGUGUGUGUUGUUCGGAAGGGAAUCUGAGAGCAUUACCAAACAUGAAAGCAGCAGGACAGCUCGGUAAAAUCGGGCAAACAUAACGUUAACCCAAACCGACAGCCUAUUCAAAGGAGGAGUUGUAACGUUAUAACAACAAACCGGAGAACCAGGAUCAACUUUUAUUGUCUCGACAUUGUGCGGAUACAUUGAAUCGUCCUGAAGAACUCGACGCUAUUUCAGGAAGGAGAACAUUUAAUUGGACAUUAAAGUUCUUGAAGCUGUGGGAACAGUCUCUUGAAGCCAUGCCUGUUUUUGUAACAGUCCCAGUAAAUGGAUUCUCAGGAGUCUGAAGAUGUGUGUGUGUUUAUGUGUAUGUAUGUAUGUGUGUGUGUUUAUUGGUUGAGGAAAAUGGUGAAACACCUCACUUCCUCUCUCCUCCCACAACCUUCCAUGGUCUCAAUCUGUGAUGCUGUCAGACGCUGGUGAUGGAGGCCAGGCAGUUCGAUGACUUCUGGAGUUUCUCAGGCUGUGUGGUGGGGGGUUCUGGGAUGGCGCGAAAGCUGAAUGGCAGUCCGAUACUACUGGUGCCGAUGUGGCCGGGGCUCAGCGCUGGAUUCUGCCGUCUAUUGCUUUCCACUAUGCUGGAUGUGUUGGAUGCAAGGCUUUCACGCGUCCUGCACAAGAGACAACAGAAAGUCAAGUGUUUGCUUUUUAAAUACAUUAAAUCUUAUAUUAGGUAUAAGUGAUUUCUUGUCUAGAAAGAGGAAUACCAAAAUGGAUUGCAAUUGUUUUAAAAUCUAUUUUGCAGACUGAAGAAAAAUGCAGAUACAUUGUAGAUUCUGAGAAUAAUAAGAGCAAAUUCCUUCCAGGUUUCCUUCAUUUAAAAAAUUCAAAUAAGCACAAAGGCUUUUUUCAUGCCAUUCAUCUUGGAAAAUACAGUACAUUAAAAAUAUAUUAAAGAAAAAUCCUAAAUAGAUCAAAGCAACUUGGUACACAAUCAUAUUAAUAUAAUACAUUAUAAAUAUUAGGGCAGGGACGAUAUGCCUUUGUCCCAAUUAGAUUCUUUCACGAUACAUGGGUGCCCAUUCGAUUUUCAUUGUGAUUUUUAUUUAUUGCCAUUGUAGAAGUGUUGUGAUUCGAUAGUAUUAUAUAGUAUUGAGUAUUGCAAUUUUCUGUUCCUUCGUUUCCAAAAACAAAAGCUGAAAGUUUUAAAAAUCUUUGCAAAAAUCACAAUACAUACGAUUUUUGAUUAUACAUAUUUUUUUUUUCCCACCCAUAAUAAAUGUGUGGUAUAUUUGCUAUGUCUACAUUAUUUAUUCUUCACAUAUUUAAUCCCAAUAUUUGUCUAAAUAGAACACUUUCUCAGGAGCGUACAUAUGUAUUUUUUUUAUUUGUGUUAAAGGGUUAUUAGAUUCACGAUGGACCGAGAGCUGAUGGCGCAGUGGAUAUAACCCGUACCUUUUGAUGUGGGACCCCUGGGUUCAAAUCCCACUCCCUGAGCAAGACACUUCACCCCUAGUUGCUCCAGAGGCGUGCGACCUCUGGCAUAUGUAGCAAUUGUAAAUCGCUUUGGAUUAAAGGGUCAACUAAAUGACAUGUAAUAUCUUCUGUGGCUCUGAAGGGAGCUCUAAUACCCAGAUUAUGUCAUUAGUUUUUUUUUUUGGAGUGCAAUAUUAAAUUGGUAGAGUUAACUCUCGCUUAGAUGGUUCACAAGUGGUUCACCAACGUUAAACUGGUGCACUGUGAUAAUGUUUCAGUCAAGGAGCAGAAAUGGCUUGCUAGCUAGUAAAUUUGUUUGUCUGAUAAACUGAUGUUUGCAGUUGUUUACAUAAAGGUGAAACUAUUAAGUAAACCAUUUAUACCGUAAAUAAGUGGCUCGUUACUACAAUUACUGUCUGCCAAGGUUAGUAAGCCAUUUGCUGCUAUCAAGAUGAAGGGAAUACAACUGUGUGAUCUAAGUUGCUUUAAAUACCAUACAUCAUACACCAACCAACAUAAUAAAUAUAAUGAAUACAUCAUUGGAAUACUAUAAAGUUAUUUGGUUAUUAAUUAGCAUGAAACUGGUGAUAAUAAAGAAGUUUGAAUCUGUCAA
Long non-coding RNA from Perca flavescens (yellow perch), 2359 nucleotides. RefSeq lists it as uncharacterized. The transcript is spliced from 3 exons. The record is from RefSeq and is a predicted model, not a curated record. Lineage: Eukaryota; Metazoa; Chordata; Actinopteri; Perciformes; Percidae.